This 591-nucleotide long non-coding RNA is filed under the name Homo sapiens (human). RNAcentral's name for it is "HSALNT0388755". The stretch from base 445 to 515 matches the Rfam family "Small nucleolar RNA SNORD49". The record is from RNAcentral. Lineage: Eukaryota; Metazoa; Chordata; Mammalia; Primates; Hominidae.
CUUUUCAUUCCCGUUGUUAUGGAGGGCCACAUCUGCCAGAGCCUGGAGUCUGCGAAGGCCGGGACCCGGUUCCCCGGCCCACAGUGGGGGUGUGCAAACCCGAGAGAACUGGGUGAGAGGCUCUCUGGUGUAGGGUUUAACAUGGAACGUAGUUUUGUCACUUGAAUGCACGGAAAUUGGCGUUUUGACAGUUUUCUACGUUUAGGUGUUUUAUACACUUUAGGGUAACGUUAUCAUGUCAUUGCAUAGGGUGGAACUUAAAUAGAAACUGGAGAUGGCUGCUUCAGCCACAGUCCUAACCUAGAACUGCAUUUAAAGCAAACUGAUAAUGCAGAAACAAACUCCUUCGUUAAGAAAUGUCUCCAGUAGCAGGGUUAGCUUAAGUUUCAGGUAGGGUCUAGAUCUGCGGUUGGAACAGUACUGGAGGGUUGUGAGGUGCUUGACUGCUCUGAUGAAAUCACUAAUAGGAAGUGCCGUCAGAAGCGAUAACUGACGAAGACUACUCCUGUCUGAUUGCAGUCAAGUCUUCACCACUUGCUGGUUCCCAGGAGUAAACUUGUUUGAACGGUGACCUAAUUGCUAUAUUCACCU